AAGACUGUAUUUUCAGCGAUCAUUUCUGCCGUUCUUAACUUGAAAUAUGUUUUUAAAGUGAUUCCCGCCAGCCACGAUUAUGGGUUGUUGUGAAUCUUCCUGAGCGCAAAGCGGGUACAGGGAAGUUGUUUAAUGACAAACUCUGCUUUUAUGACCGUUGAGUGCUACUUUAUGGGAUCUUUGAGGAAGGAGCGCAUUCUGAGGGGU
This is a small nucleolar RNA of Lampris incognitus (smalleye Pacific opah), 207 nucleotides long. RefSeq annotates it as small nucleolar RNA U3. The transcript has a single exon. NCBI's taxonomy places the organism in Eukaryota, Metazoa, Chordata, Actinopteri, Lampriformes, Lampridae. The record is from RefSeq and is a predicted model, not a curated record.